This 440-nucleotide ribosomal RNA is filed under the name Serratia sp. HRI. RNAcentral describes it as "bacterial SSU rRNA". It matches the Rfam family "Bacterial small subunit ribosomal RNA", at positions 338 to 795 of the family's 1533-position model. Lineage: Bacteria; Pseudomonadati; Pseudomonadota; Gammaproteobacteria; Enterobacterales; Yersiniaceae. The record is from RNAcentral.
CCUACGGGAGGCUGCAGUGGGGAAUUUUGGACAAUGGGCGCAAGCCUGAACCAGCAAUGCCGCGUGCAGGAUGAAGGCCUUCGGGUUGUAAAGCUCUUUUACUGGGGAUGAUAAUGACAGUACCCAGAGAAUAAGCUCCGGCUAACUCCGUGCCAGCAGCCGCGGUAAUACGGAGGGAGCUAGCGUUGUUCGGAAUUACUGGGCGUAAAGCGCACGUAGGCGGCGAUUCAAGUCAGAGGUGAAAGCCCGGGGCUCAACCCCGGAACUGCCUUUGAAACUAGAUUGCUAGAAUCCUGGAGAGGCGAGUGGAAUUCCGAGUGUAGAGGUGAAAUUCGUAGAUAUUCGGAAGAACACCAGUGGCGAAGGCGGCCAACUGGCACAUUUCUGACGCUGAGGUGCGAAAGCGUGGGGAGCAAACAGGAUUAGAUACCCGUGUAGUC